UGUUUUUGGUGAAAGUAGUUUUGGUCAAAGUGAUUUUUCUGUACGUGUGAGAACUCAAUUCUGAGUUAACAGAGGGGGUAGCGAGUGAGUAUAGCUAUUAUCAUUGGCACACAU
RNAcentral lists this small RNA (114 nucleotides) under Yersinia aldovae ATCC 35236. Its description in RNAcentral is "ManX 5' UTR thermometer". It matches the Rfam family "ManX 5' UTR thermometer". From Rfam's summary of the family: Short UTR positioned upstream of ManX gene responsible for sugar uptake. Lineage: Bacteria; Pseudomonadati; Pseudomonadota; Gammaproteobacteria; Enterobacterales; Yersiniaceae. The record is from Rfam by way of RNAcentral.